CAUGCAGCGCGCGUCCACCUUUACCUUUUGGAAUAGCAAUGGUUCGUCCAUAAAUUCGCUUCUUUUUAGAAGAAUUCAACUUUUUUAAUGGUCUUCUCACCUGUUUCUUGGUAGUCUCGUUUAUUCGAAGAAGAGAACUCCAGUUUACCCACAAGUAAAAUAUCUUUUUGCAGAAUUGUUUUUCACUACAAGGCCCUCCUCAUCCGACCCUUAAUGGAGAAAGCCAUAGCAAAUUCUCACUCCAGGAGAAACGUUAGCUAGCUGUUCGCGGAAUGAUAAGAGACAGGGUUUCUCUUUGUAGCCUUGGAUGUCCUGGAACUCACUUUAUAGACCAGGAUGGCUGGAGAUCCACCUGCCUCUACCUGUUGAGUGCUGGGACUGAAGGUGUGGGGAUGUGAGGCUACUUCAGACUGUCCACAGCAGCUGACCAUCAUUUACCUUGUGCUCUAGCAGAAACAUGGUUUUGCCAGCUGCAGCUCAGCUGACUGGCCGGCAAGCCCCAGUGGUCCUUCCUUCUCAGCUCCCCAGCACAGGUUACCUGCAUGCCUGGACAUGCUCAGCUCUUAUGUGAGUGAACAGGUAUAGCCAUAAUGGAUGGGGGCAGCCGCUUGACAGGGAACACUGAAGAACAGAGCCAUCACAAGCCAGCAUGUGCCAAGCCUGUGGUCCUGAAUUUGAUCCCUGGAGCACACACGGUGGAAGGAGAGAACUGACUCCCACAAGUUGUUUUUUGGCCUGCACAUGCGUGCACACAUGUACCCACACACAAAAUAAACGGAUGUAAAAACUGGAAA
Long non-coding RNA from Psammomys obesus (fat sand rat), 794 nucleotides. RefSeq lists it as uncharacterized. The transcript is spliced from 5 exons. The record is from RefSeq and is a predicted model, not a curated record. NCBI's taxonomy places the organism in Eukaryota, Metazoa, Chordata, Mammalia, Rodentia, Muridae.